RNAcentral lists this ribosomal RNA (245 nucleotides) under uncultured bacterium. RNAcentral's name for it is "partial 16S ribosomal RNA". It matches the Rfam family "Bacterial small subunit ribosomal RNA", at positions 28 to 260 of the family's 1533-position model. The record is from RNAcentral.
GACGAACGCUGGCGGCGUGCUUAACACAUGCAAGUCGAGCGGUAAGGCCCUUUCGGGGUACGACGAGCGGCGAACGGGUAGGAGUAACACGUGGGUGGACCUCGCCCUCCAGCUCUGGGAGUAAAGCCUGGGAAACCGGGGUACGUAAUAACCGGAGUAUGACUCCAUGACGCAUGUUGGUGGGGUGGAAAGCCUUGUGCGGCUGAGGAUGGGCCCGGCGGCCUAUCAGCUUGUUGGUGGGGUGA